AUGCUUACUUGGAUGGGGUUAAUGGGUGAUCAAGAAGGCCCAUUACCUAGUCGAGUAACCUCCAUUGUACUAAGGAGGGGUACUUGUCUAAGGACCAACCAUGUGGUGGGUCCUACAUCAUAAUUUUUUAUAGUCGGGGUUUGCGCUUGCGCGACCCUCAU
Molecule: small nuclear RNA, 161 nt
Organism: Trifolium pratense (red clover)
Lineage: Eukaryota; Viridiplantae; Streptophyta; Magnoliopsida; Fabales; Fabaceae
Product: U1 spliceosomal RNA
Exons: 1
Source: RefSeq, a predicted model, not a curated record